RNAcentral lists this transfer RNA (65 nucleotides) under Dinaraea aequata. RNAcentral describes it as "tRNA-Leu". Lineage: Eukaryota; Metazoa; Arthropoda; Insecta; Coleoptera; Staphylinidae. The record is from RNAcentral.
AUUAUCUUGGCAGAUUAGUGCAUUAAAUUUAGAAUUUAAUUUAUAUAGUUUUCACUAUAGAUAAU